GCUCCCGUAGUUAAAUGGAUAUAACAAUAGUCUUCGGAACUGUGGUUGUGGGUUCGAUUCCUACCGGGAGCACAA
Molecule: transfer RNA, 75 nt
Filed under: Minisyncoccota bacterium
Lineage: Bacteria; Bacillati; Minisyncoccota
Description: tRNA-Arg
Rfam family: tRNA
About the family: Transfer RNA (tRNA) molecules are approximately 80 nucleotides in length. Their secondary structure includes four short double-helical elements and three loops (D, anti-codon, and T loops).
Source: RNAcentral